UUUGACCCAGCAAUUCCUUUACUGCGUAUAUACCCAAAUGAUUAUAAAUCGUUCUAUUAUAAGGACACAUGCGCACAAAUGUUCAUUGCAGCACUGUUUACAAUAGCA
Long non-coding RNA from Sapajus apella (tufted capuchin), 108 nucleotides. RefSeq lists it as uncharacterized. The transcript is spliced from 3 exons. The record is from RefSeq and is a predicted model, not a curated record. Lineage: Eukaryota; Metazoa; Chordata; Mammalia; Primates; Cebidae.